GUUCUUUUGUUUAUAUAAAAGAUCUGGCCUGCCCAAUGAAAAUUUAAUGGCUGCAGUAUUUUGACUGUACAAAGGUAGCAUAAUCAUUUGUCUUUUAAUUGAAGUCUGGAAUGAAUGGUUUGAUGAAAAAUUUACUUUCUUUAUUUUAAACAAAUAAUUUAAUUUUUUAAUUAAAAAGUUAAGAUAUUAGUAUAGGACGAGAAGACCCUAUAGAACUUUAUUUUGAUAAAAAGAUAUAAUUUUGUUAAUGAUUUUUUGUCUUUUUUUAGGAAUUUUGUUGGGGUGACAAAAAAAAUUUUUUAACUUUUUUUUAUUUUCUCAUUGAUUUAUGAUUAUUUGAUCCUUUAUUAUGGAUAUAAGAUUAAGUUACCUUAGGGAUAACAGCGUUAUUAUUUUAGAGAGUUCAUAUCGAUAAAAUAGUUUGCGACCUCGAUGUUGGAUUAAAAUAAGUUUCAGGAGUAGAUUAUUGAUUAUCUAGGUCUGUUCGACCUUUAAAUUUUUACA
RNAcentral lists this ribosomal RNA (504 nucleotides) under Pilophorus gracilis. RNAcentral describes it as "partial 16S ribosomal RNA". The stretch from base 377 to 504 matches the Rfam family "Bacterial large subunit ribosomal RNA", at positions 2473 to 2600 of the family's 2925-position model. The record is from RNAcentral. Lineage: Eukaryota; Metazoa; Arthropoda; Insecta; Hemiptera; Miridae.